This 254-nucleotide ribosomal RNA is filed under the name uncultured bacterium. RNAcentral describes it as "partial 16S ribosomal RNA". It matches the Rfam family "Bacterial small subunit ribosomal RNA", at positions 524 to 776 of the family's 1533-position model. The record is from RNAcentral.
UACGUAGGGGGCGAGCGUUGUCCGGAUUCAUUGGGCGUAAAGAGCUCGUAGGCGGCUUGGCAAGUCGGAUGUGAAAACUCCAGGCUCAACCUGGAGCCGCCAUUCGAUACUGCUAUGGCUAGAGUCCGGUAGGGGAGUGUGGAAUUCCCGGCGUAGCGGUGAAAUGCGCAGAUAUCGGGAGGAACACCGAUGGCGAAGGCAGCACUCUGGGCCGGCACUGACGCUGAGGAGCGAAAGCGUGGGGAGCAAACAGG